Molecule: ribosomal RNA, 1424 nt
Filed under: Pseudacris regilla (Pacific treefrog)
Lineage: Eukaryota; Metazoa; Chordata; Amphibia; Anura; Hylidae
Description: partial 16S ribosomal RNA
Rfam family: Bacterial large subunit ribosomal RNA
Source: RNAcentral
ACCAAAAACCUAGCCCCACUACAAUCUAAUGAACUACAAAAACUAACUCAACUAACCAAAACAUUUUUAUAUUUUAGUAAAGGCGAUUAAAAAAAUUCUAUGGAGCUAUAAUGACAGUACCGCAAGGGAAAAGUGAAAUAAUAAUGAAAUAAUUUUAAGUACACUAAAGUAGAGAUUUAACCUCGUACCUUUUGCAUCAUGGUUUAACUAGUCAAAUCAAGCGAAACGACUUACAGUCUGACCUCCCGAAACUAAGCGAGCUACUUCAGGGCAGCUUAUUGAGCAAACCCGUCUCUGUUGCAAAAGAGUGGGAAGACCCUCAAGUAGCGGUGAUAGACCUAACGAGCUUAGUGAUAGCUGGUUAUUCAAGAAAAGGAUUUUAGUCCAGCCUAAAGAACUAUUAAUAAUCUUAAUAUAACAACUACUUUAGAGUAAUUCAAAUAAGGUACAGCCUAUUUGAAACAGGAUACAACCUCGAUCAAAGGGUAAUUAUACGUUUUAACAACCAAGUAGGCCCAAAAGCAGCCAUCUUUAAAAUAGCGUCAAAGCUUAAUUGUUUAUACUACUAAUACCAAAAAUAACUUAGAACCCUUCACUACUAUUGAAUAAUUCUAUAUAUUUAUAGAACAUUUUAUGUUAAAACUAGUAACAAGAAGAAGACCUUCUCUUAAAUGUAAAUGUAAGUCAAAAAGGACUAACCAGUGACUAUUAACACCAAUGAACAAAAAUUAACAACUCACAAGAAAACCUUACUUUUUAUUAUGUUAACCUAACACAAGAACAUUUCAAGAAAGAUUAAAAGAAAAAGAAGGAACUCGGCAAAAAUUAACCUCGCCUGUUUACCAAAAACAUCGCCUCUUGAGUAUACUUAUAAGAGGUCCAGCCUGCCCAGUGACUCUGUUCAACGGCCGCGGUAUCCUAACCGUGCGAAGGUAGCGUAAUCACUUGUUCUUUAAAUAAGGACUAGUAUGAAUGGCACCACGAAGGUUACACUGUCUCCUUUCUCUAAUCAGUGAAACUAAUCUCCCCGUGAAGAAGCGGGGAUUUAAGUAUAAGACGAGAAGACCCUAUGGAGCUUUAAACUAAAUAACACUUGCUCUUAUAUUCCUAUAUUUGAGAAUACUAACACCUAUUUUAGCUUUAUGAUUUUUAGUUUUAGGUUGGGGUGACCGCGGAGCAAAACAAAACCUCCACAUUGAAUGGGGUUUCACACCCUGAGCAACGAGCUACAACUCUACGCACCAAUAAAUUGACAUAAAUUGACCCAAUAUUUUGAUCAACGAACCAAGUUACCCUAGGGAUAACAGCGCAAUCCGCUUCAAGAGCUCCUAUCGACAAGCGGGUUUACGACCUCGAUGUUGGAUCAGGGUAUCCCAGUGGUGUAGCCGCUACUAAAGGUUCGUUUGUUCAACGAUCAAAACCCU